UCCUUCCUCAUCCAUCCUCCAUUGUCUUGAUUGAUAGAAAAUGCCAUGGUGGAAUCUUUGGGGUCAUUCAUACUUGAUUCUACCAGACUUUGAUACAAAACCCCUCAGAAGCCUAGAAAGUCAUCAGUCAUUUUUGGAUAACAUAUAACCAAUGAUCUAUUACCCUCUUCUUGGAAACAGGCUUCCAGACAACUAAAGGGUCAAGGAGAAAACCAAGGAUAUGGAAGCAGAGCAAGGGUCUGAUCACAUUUCUCAUUGACUUUGGGAGCCCAUUGAUCGGGGGCCAGUAGAGACCAGCUGCAAUGUCUGGUAAUGCUGCUGAAAUUGUUCUGAGGAGUAGCAACCAGUUGAGGGAAUUCUCCAAAAUCCAAGACAAGAACUCCUCCACAAAUUGUGACUUCAAAUCAUUGUGAAUGAGACCAGCGUGCAUCAGCAGAACAUCUGAUGGCCAACUAUCAGUAGGUGCAUCUGAUUGGAUCUGGUCACAGAAGAUACUUUGCGAAGUAUUCGGAUGAAUCAACAACCGAGAAUCACCGCCAGGAAGGAGGAACUGCCACACCUUCCUUUGUUUAUGUUUCCUAGCUGUGGCCUACACAAACCCACAUUCAGCCUGACAGAGAGCGGGAUCGGUGCUUUCCGGAACCUACUGAAAAACUGGAAUUCAUCUGUGUCCUCAGUUCCCCCGAUUGGCUCACUUUAUGAUGGUUUCUGUCUGAAUACAAAGUCUCCGUGGUUCCUGCAAGUCCUUGCUGUCUGAUUCAUUGCUGUUGCUCUGAGAUCUAUCAUCAACUACCAAAUCUUGAAAAUUUGCAAGAAAUUGAAAGCUCUCCAGGGGAGACAGGGAAGGGAAAUAAAUGUAUCCUCAGAUGCCCUCGCUCACUCAAUCUGACAAGCGUAGAUUAUGUUGUUUGAAAUACUUUCCAGACUGCUAGGAAGUGUCCCCAAGUGGGGGGCAUGAAGGGAAUAAAGCCUUUGUACCAUCGGACACUGCCUCACUGUUUAUGAAAUCACAGUUUGGAAAUGAAAGACUUAUUAAAUCAUCUGGCCCAUGCUGCUAGGACAGACUUUUCUCAUUCUCAUCCUUCAUCUUGGCCAGUGAGUGGUAUUUGGGGUUUGACUGAUCCCAAGAGCUUGUGUGUAGCAAGGCUGCUGGAGGUCAAAGUUUUUCAUCCUUACCAAGCUGGAGACAAAAUUUUCAUUUUGUAUGAAGUUCCUCAAAUGAUAGAGCUGGUCAUCAGUCAACUCCAUCUGUUUCUUAGAAAAGCAGAAAGUUGGACUUGGAUGGAACACCAGAGAAGGCUGUAUCAUAUGACAGAACAUAUUGAUGCUUCCAUUUCAACUCAAGAUUUGGUUGUUUCUGAUGCGAAUGAAACAAAGAUCACAUAGUGGGUAUGCUUUACUCAGCAUCCUCAGCAUCUCAGCAUCCUCAGCAUCCUCAGCAUCCUCAGCAUCUCAGUAUCUCAGCAUCCUCAGCAUCUCAGCAUCCUCAGCAUCCUCAGCAUCCUCAGCAUCUCAGUAUCUCAGCAUCUCAGCAUCCUCAGUAUCUCAGCAUCCUCAGCAUCUCAGCAUCCUCAGCAUCCUCAGCAUCCUCAGCAUCUCAGCAUCCUCAGCAUCCUCAGCAUGCUCAGCAUCCUCAGCAUCUCAGCAUCCUCAGCAUCCUCAGCAUCUCAGCAUCCUCAGCAUCCUCAGCAUCCUCAGCAUCCUCAGCAUCCUCAGCAUCUCAGCAUCCUCAGCAUCCUCAGCAUCCUCAGCAUCUCAGCAUCCUCAGCAUCCUCAGCAUCCUCAGCAUCCUCAGCAUCCUCAGCAUCUCAGCAUCCUCAGCAUCUCAGCAUCCUUAGCAUCCUCAGCAUCCUUAGCAUCUGUCCCCAGGAUUAGUGCAUUACUACACAAUAUCUGGAAAAGAUUCCUGUUCUCCCCACAUGUUUCACUGUCUUCGAUGUCACUGAGUCCUUUGUCCUUCUCUUUAUUGUAAUGGUUUGUCUUCUCAAGUAGCUUCAGCUUAACUACCGGGCUAUGAAACAAAAUUGUACAAAGCUUCCAUGGUUGCCCUUCCACAGUAAAGUUCUGUUAUGGUGUCAAUAAAAACAUUUUGAAGUUAUUUGAAAAUUUAGCUUACAAAACUCACCAAAUGGUUUAUGCAUCUUCUUGAGUUUCAUGUGUUUUGUAAAUUGUAUCUUAGGUAGUCUAAGUUUCUGGGCUACUAUCCACUUAUCAGUGAGUUUAUGUGGUUUGGUUUAUGUGGCUGAAAUACAACCGUCAUAACAGCCCAGGUUGGUAUGUACUAUCUACGCCUGUGUUGGUUUGAAUAGAAAUGGGCUACAUAGACUCAUGUACUUGAAUGCUUGGCCCACAGGGAGUGG
Molecule: long non-coding RNA, 2360 nt
Organism: Mus musculus (house mouse)
Lineage: Eukaryota; Metazoa; Chordata; Mammalia; Rodentia; Muridae
Product: predicted gene, 36031
Exons: 7
Source: RefSeq, a predicted model, not a curated record